RNAcentral lists this ribosomal RNA (270 nucleotides) under uncultured bacterium. RNAcentral describes it as "partial 16S ribosomal RNA". It matches the Rfam family "Bacterial small subunit ribosomal RNA", at positions 793 to 1055 of the family's 1533-position model. The record is from RNAcentral.
GUCCUGGCCCUAAACGAUGUCGACUAGAUCGUGGUGGCUCUGACGCCAUCACGGUCGAAGCAAAAGUGCUAAGUCGACCGCCUGGGAAGUACGGUCGCAAGGCUAAAACUCAAAGGAAUUGACGGGGGGCUCACACAAGCGGUGGAGCAUGUGGUUCAAUUCGAAGCAACGCGCAGAACCUUACCUGGGCUUGACAUGCCAGGAUUAUCCCCAUGAAAGUGGGGUAGGCCCUUCGGGGUACAACUGGUACAGGUGCUGCAUGGCUGUCGU